Molecule: ribosomal RNA, 460 nt
Filed under: uncultured bacterium
Lineage: Bacteria
Description: partial 16S ribosomal RNA
Rfam family: Bacterial small subunit ribosomal RNA
Source: RNAcentral
CCUACGGGGAGCAGCAGUGAGGAAUAUUGGUCAAUGGACGAGAGUCUGAACCAGCCAAGUAGCGUGAAGGAUGACUGCCCUAUGGGUUGUAAACUUCUUUUAUAAAGGAAUAAAACGAGGCACGUGUGCCUUUUUGCAUGUACUUUAUGAAUAAGGAUCGGCUAACUCCGUGCCAGCAGCCGCGGUAAUACGGAGGAUCCGAGCGUUAUCCGGAUUUAUUGGGUUUAAAGGGAGCGUAGAUGGGUUGUUAAGUCAGUUGUGAAAGUUUGCGGCUCAACCGUAAAAUUGCAAUUGAUACUGGCAGUCGUGAGUACAGUUGAGGUAGGCGGAAUUCGUGGUGUAGCGGUGAAAUGCUUAGAUAUCACGAAGAACCCCGAUUGCGAAGGCAGCUUACUAAACUGUGACUGACAUUGAUGCUCGAAAGUGUGGGUAUCAAACAGGAUUAGAUACCCUGGUAGUC